UUUAUGAUUGCAUGAAGUUAUCCUCUCCGAUCCAAUCUUCAGGAAUUGGAGAAGGUCAUGCCUACGUCGAUGAGAAAGACACAUGGAAAGGCUGAGAGGACUGAUGACUUUGAUUGCACCGUUUGCCUGAAACUGCUGUAUGAACCUGCUACAACUCCAUGUGGGCAUACAUUCUGCCGAUCAUGCCUCUUUCAGUCUAUGGAUCGUGGUGAGUUUAUACUUUAUAUGGUUCUUCUCUUUACUAUUGUGUUGUUUAUUAAUGCUUUGUGGAAUAUAUAGGCAACAAAUGUCCACUAUGUCGAACUGUCAUUUUUAUGACUCCAAGAACAUGCGCUGUCAGGUAAAAAGGAUUGGAACGCUUAUGCUUUAAGAUUCUUAAAGGUCCAAUGCCAUACCAUGUAAUAGUAUAUUGGAACGCUUAUGCUUUAAUAUUAUGUGAUGGCAGUGUGACAUUGAAUAACAUCAUACAAAAGAACUUCCCAGAGGAGUAUGCCGAAAGGAAAUCAGAGCAAGACACUCUGGUCCACUUAGGGAAUGAAAGUAUGCCUCUUUUUGUCAUGGAUGUGAUCAUCCCUUGUCAGAAGUUGUCUCUUCACAUAUUUGAACCAAGAUAUAGACUAAUGGUGAGUUCUUUCGUUGUCUUUCACGGUUCUGUACAUUUUAAAACUCCCCUGGCUCGCUUUCACAAAAUUCUUAAAUGAUAUAAGAAGUAAAAGCUGUUGUAAGGUCUUCAUAAAUACAUAUCUCAUUUAGGAGAAGAAUAAGCCAAGAAAGUCAAAUGUAGUCAAGAUAAAAGGGGUCUCUACAUAAGAGCUAGUGGAUUGAAACUUCUAUGGUUCACUCUAGCUUGCAGCAGUAUUGCUAUUUGCAUUCAGAAAACUUCUAUCUGAAUAUCUACAAGUCUCUUUGAUAGUUGUACUUUGAUUAACAUGCGCUAACUGAAACAGGUGAGAAGAAUAAUGGAAGGAAACCAUAGGAUGGGAAUGGUGGGUGUUGUGUCUUUUGCCUUAUUGCUUCUUGACUAUACAUUCAUAAAACGUUUCUGACUACUAAGUUUGCCCAUUCUAAUGUUCAUAGGUAGCUCUUGAUUCUGCGACAGGUUCACCAGUGGAUGUUGCUUGCGAAGUCGAAAUCACAGAGUCUGUUGCUUCUUUCUUUAUGAUAAUUCUUAAUGUCCUUCAGUAGAUGAGUUUAUCUCGGGAUCUACUCACACAGAGUCUGCUAAUGUUUUGGAAUUACACAGGUGUGAUCCACUUCCUGAUGGGCGUUUUGUCCUGGAGGUGAAUAUUAUUUACUUCUCUUGUGGCUUUAUUUAAUGUGUAAGUUGUCAAAGGAUCAACUUAGUAUAUCUGCUUUUUUCAGCUUGAAAGCCAUAGAAGGUGUCGCAUUGUAAAAGCUUGGGAUCAAGAUGGGUAAGCUUAGUAUGAUUUGUUUGAGUGGACCACUGUCAUUUCCGAAUAUGAUUGUUCUUAAGCUUAGCAUUGCAGUUGGAUCUCUAUCUCAUACUCUAAUCAUUUCCAGUAGUAUGACAGUACUUGAUCUUUUUAUUCCUGAUUUUCUCCUUUUAAACAUAGUCUAUGCUUUCGUGUUAAGAGUGUGGUAGUUACAUGUUCCUACAUCGAAUAUUUCCAUAAAUUUUUCAACAUAUGUGAAGAUCAAAUAUUCAAUCCACAUGCAACAUGGGUGUGGAACUUUGUGUCGUACAUGUAUUAUCAUUUUGGUCAUAUCCAAACACAAAUGCAUAGCUUCUAAAUAUCUUUUUUGUUUUUUCAGAUAUCGUGUUGCAGAGGUUGAAUGGGUGACAGAUAUACCACCACAAAGCGACCAAGAGAAAGCAGAUGUAUGAUUACAUCUCUUUAGCUUAUGGCAUUACAAUACUUCUUUGCCUUUAUAACGAGUUUAUUUCCCUUUCUUAUUUUCACUUUUCUUUGCGACUUGUUACAGCUGCGGGAACUGACGACUAGUGCAGCAUCAUUUGCUCGGUCAUGGCUAGAGAGAGCAAAGGAAGCAGCUAGACAAGGAGGUAAGAAACUAUUUUUAUCAAGCUGCGAAACGAAAGUGAACUAACUAGUCAUGAGUUCUGUUUUAUGACAGUAACUAUUAGUUGUGCCACUUUGUAUGCUAAUUAGCCUUUUAGCAUUUUCAGACAUGAUCUAGUCUUUCACUUCUUCUUUUUCAGACAGAAGAAGACUUGAAACACUUCUAAUUGUUGAAUCUAUGAUGCCUACACCUCAAGAUCCAGAGCGCUUCAGUUUCUGGGUAAUGCUGUUAAAUUUGCAAAGCUCUCUCUAAAGCACAAACUCUUGGGAUAUAUUGUUUCUCAAUGUCUUUAUUUUUUUGGGGGGGGGCGUCAGCUUGCGACAUUAACAGAUAGGAGACCUUCAGAAAGAUUGGAACUACUUCGGCUUCAGGAUACUGGAGAGGUACUUGAAUAUCAACUAGUCUACUUUGCUUGAUAUGAGAUUGUAUCUGUUUCACUUCUUUUGAUUUUGGGAACUUUUUGUUGCAGAGAAUAAGGCGCGGGUUGAUAUAUCUUCGGUCAGUAGAACGAGGAUGCACAAUGCAAUGAACCGUCACCGUGUACAAGCAAGAGAUCAAACUUGGGAUCUGUUCAUAAGAAAUUUGACAAAAAAAAAACAUGAUUUAUUGAAGGAAUACAAAAAUAUAAGAGAUUAUUGGGGGGAUAGAUAUCAUCAUGUUGUGUAUUGAAACCAGACUACCAUAUUGUUCGUCAUGGUGAUCCUUGUAGGAUCAUUAUUCAAUUUCAACUCAACACUUUAUUAAGACAUAACAAGUGAAAAGCCAUUGAGCAAUUGAGGCAUCUAGUAAAAUAAACUAAUGUAACAUAGCAUUGAUGAUCUUUAAAUCUACAUGACAUCAACAUAAUCCACAUUGUAUAUUUCGCAUUUCUGACACUUGACAAUUUCUUUGACAGCAAAUCGCACUCUUGAUGAGGUUUAUUUGUCUUAAAUUCAAAAGUUGAAGGCUUUUAUUGAAUUAGAUGAAAGUCGGAGGUUCAUUUCAGAUAUUCAGAAAAGAAAGAAAAUAAAUUAAGAUGCGUCCAUAACAAAGAGUUAAUAAUAAUAAUGCAUCACUGUCUUAAACAUAAAAGGAUAUACGCGGGGCAGAGGAUAACUAUUUGAUCGGAAUCAGAUGGCGGAGGAAACUCUGUCUGUCGUCGUCGAUGACCUCCGUCUCCUAUCGGAAUCUCUCCCCUUCCUCACUACGAUUCUCUUUCGUUUCUGCACAUUGCACAAUCUCCUACCCGAUCUCUCUGUCUCUCUCGGGAGCUUUUUUUUUUUUUAUUUAUUUUUUUUUUUAAUAAUCCAGGGGUUCCAGUCAUUCCCGCAUGGUGUCCAGAAGAGGCAGGAUAGUUUCCGCAUGGUGGGAAUCGAACCCGGACGGUGAUUGCCACCACAGGCCCGUCCUGCCACUUGGACUACCUCGUCCGGACAGCUACUUUUUAUAUGCUUCUGCCUUUCGAUUUAACUUAAUAGGUUUUGCAAAAUCUAGUAUCCAUGUCUGUGUGCGUAUAUGUUUCGUGACGUUUGCUGAAUUCUCCGUUAUGAAUUGGUUUAUUAAAACCAGAAGAACAUGAAUGUUGAAGGUUGAAGCUUGUUGCUAGUAUUUUUGUAGUCUUGAAUGUGGAAGAAAGAUUUGCUAAACUGCUUAACAUCAAAGCCUCUUCUAGUUUUUCAUUCUCUCUCACCGGCAUGGAAAUAUACUAAAUUGUAGAAGGAAAAACGUCUCUUUGACAUGGUUUCUAAGAUAACUCAGUGUGCUGUGUAUUGCUGUUAGUAAGUACAUGUAGUUAGGUUAUGUGUGCAUGUCAGAUAUUGGAAUGUGUACCCAAAUUUAUUUGAGGAUUAGAGUCAUUAGACUUGUAGUAAGUGUUUUAAGUGGAAAGUACAUUGCAGACCAGCUUUAACAUUUUUUUUUUUUUUUUGUUUAAAUUGAUCAUUACAGGAAUUCCGGUUCAGGAUACAUGUGAUUUUAUAAACGUCGGUUGGUUCUUUGUGCGCUAAAUUUCUUUUACUUAUUUAUGUUGUGUAUUAGCUUUGCUAAUACUAUAUAGGCUGUCAACAAAUCUAGAAUGGAGAAGGGACUAUCCCUUGGCGUUGAGGAAACAGCAAAUUAUCAGUCAUGUAUACUGUUGCGGUAUACUGAAAAAAAGAAUAAAGAUUUCUUCUGUUUUUAUAAAAGCAAAUUGAAUUAUUUGAUAGUUCCAGCUUGCAACAUAUUAUAGAAGAUCUUCAAAGAGAGAAUGUUGCGGUAUCCCGCAAAAUAUAUAAAACGUCCUCUGCUGGCUUCUUUUACCAUCUUCAAUUCUAAUUCUUAGUAUAUAACAUAUUGUUAUAGAGAUCUCAAACUCAGGUUUUAUGGCAACACGUUUCAAAACCCUGCGUCUAAGUUUCAAGGUUUCAAAGUCAUGGCUGAUUCAGGUAUAGACUCUGAAGACUUUUACCCUUAUACACAGCUGUUGGUUCUUGUUUUUUAUUUAUGCACAUGAUUACUUAAUGUAGUAGAAUUACCUAAGCAUGCUUUUGAAACAUCCUACAAAAUAUCCAAGCAAUCUGGCAUGGUUAUUCAUAUGUUGAAGUUGCUAAACGUUUUUUUGGUUCAUAAAUGUUGAUGUUGGCAAGGCAUAUUGGAUCGAGCAAAGCAUUUUCUCUAGCAUCAAAUAUAUAUAUAUAAAAACGACAGCAUUUCUCCAUGAUCUAAUUUAAUAUUAUUUAAUUAAUUUUUAAAGGAGUCCCUUCAGAUUGUUGACUUUUGAUCUCCAUCAUCUACUAGUUCAGAGCCGUGUAGUUCAGAGAGGGGAUCUACAAAUCCUGUGAGUAAAAAUAGAAAGGUUCACUGAUUAUGGUUAGUAGAUAGAUGUGUACGGUUUAAGUGGCAUCUUCAGGUCUCUCUGUGAGUGACAUCUAUAGAAGGAGCGGCAACAAGUGAAAUGGUUCAGGAUGCGUUGAGAACCUCCGGAAGUGGUGGAGGACUUCCGAAAACGGCUGUAUCUAAUGGCGGAGGGAGAGGCCGUGGCUUGUUGUUACGCGGCUGGCAGGUCCAGAAUACCUCAAUGAACAUCAAAAUCAUGAUUCUCUGCGGCUUCGUGACCAUUCUCGUUUUACUUGGCACAGUCAGUUUUGGUAACCUUGGAAGCUCCAACGCUGACGACGCUGUUAAUCAAAAUCUCAUCAAGGAAACCAAACCGAUUCUUGCCAAGAGCCCAUCUGCUUCGGUUCCGAACGACUUGGACUUGGAGGAGCCGCCGAAAGCUGAGGUUAAUCCCAACGUGACGUACACUCUAGGGCCCAGGAUCACCAACUGGGACAGUCAACGCAAGGUAUGGCUAAAUCAGAACCCUGGGUUUCCUAGUAUAGUCAACGGCAAAGCUAGAAUCUUGCUUCUUACCGGGUCUCCCCCUGGACCCUGUGACAAACCCAUUGGAGACUAUUAUCUAUUGAAAUCAGUGAAAAACAAGAUUGAUUACUGUAGGAUUCACGGGAUAGAGAUUGUGUACAACAUGGCACAUCUAGAUGAGGAACUCUCAGGGUAUUGGACGAAAUUACCUAUGAUUAGGAGAUUAAUGCUGUCUCAUCCAGAAGUAGAAUGGAUUUGGUGGAUGGAACCUACAGUGAGGUUCACAUCAGGGGGAGUAGUGCGUGUUGUACUCUUUUUCCUUCAUCAUGGUUUUGUCCCACUGGGUUUUCUUUAUAAAGUUUUAAUGAGGCAACAUGAAGCGUACUACAAAUCCUGUAUGGUUAUGGCAUCCAAGAGGGAGUGUUAUAAAUCAUGGAGUGGAUUGCCAUUAACCAGACCCGGUCCAAGACCGGCCCAAUACCUAGAAGAUGGAGAGACGGCCGAAGCCCUAGAGAGAGCCGACUUCAGGAGAGAGAGAGGCGGCCACAAAGCUUAGAGAAAAUGAAACUCUUUCCUUUUUCUAGUAGAUGUAAUCUUUCCAUUAUUAUGUAUUAGUAGUUUUCCUAAUCCUAGUGAGUUUAGGUUUUAGAUACUUUCCAUUUAUCUUCAUCUUGUAAUCCUUAUAUAAAGGAACCCCCUUGAUCGUUAAUAAGAACACACAAAAAAAUAUUCAGUCUCUAAACUCUCUAAUUCAUUAAAAGUAUCAGUGUAAUUAACCAGCAUGAGAGUUAACGUGAGAGCGACACAUAAGAAACUGAAUCCUCAAAUAAUGUUAUAAAGAUUUAUAUAGAUAAAUAAUAAGAUUAUACAUUAAAGUAAAUAUCCGCAUAGGUCCGUUUAGGCGUCCGCGUAUACAUCUAGCCGCUAGGCACUACGAUCACCUGGAUAGCCUAUUUUAGAACACUGGUGUUGACUAUAAAAGCUUUUAGCUUAGCCAUUGGUUCAUUGUAACAAUAUUUAAUUAUUAUUCAAUUGUAAAAUAAUUGGUCAGAUUGGAGAAUCCUGAUAGCCUCAAAUUGUUUUCUCGACCCAAUGAUCUCAGGAGGAACAUAAAGGAUUCACCUUUUAGUGAGAGCUAGAGAGAGAGAGAGAUUGAAGAAGGAAGAAACUUGGAGAGAGAAUAAACACGUAGGAGGGUUCUAGUCCGUGGUUGCAAACGAAGGACGCACAAGAGUACACGACGAUACUCUCUGCGUUGCUUCCUCCUUUCAAUUUAAUUCCUUCUCUUUCCCCCAAAUUGUCAAUCUUUCAAUUUCGUUGCUCGAUGUCGCACGAAGAGUCUCUUCCGGCAUUCACUUUGUUCGGUUUGGAUGAUGUCGAAAACUAUGGUCUGGUGAGUGCUUAUGAUCACUUGAUUGGUUCCUUCUUUGAUAUCAUGUUCUAACUGAGGCUUGUAUUAAUUCACAUCAUCAUUGAGGUUGAUUAUCUGAGACUUUUGUUCUUGAUAUUGCAGGUCAGUGAAGCUGACAAUUCAUUGCCUUUGGACAUACACAAUCAGGUGUUUCAACUUGUUGAGAAGGGAAACCAAUCAUUCAAAGAUUCUCGCUUUGAAGAGGUGAAUUAUUGAAUCUCUCUUUUUAAGUUUUUUUUUUCUCUUGGUCUUGCUACUUCAUUAGGAAUUGCCUGAAACGAAGCAGUGAUUAGUUCAAAGCAAACUGAUUUGUUCUGUAUGUAUUGGAUGUCUUGUAGCUUUUUGGUGUAAUUUACUUUUGGAGUAAGUUUCUUGCUGAACAUGAUAAUGAUCGUAGCACUUUUCAUAUGAUACAUACAAAUGCUUACUGUCUUCCAACAGAACAUUCUGUAAAUUUGUUAAAGUUUAAAGCUUUGGUGCUGAAACUCUCAAAUGAGACUCUCAAUUAUGUUCUUGCCAAUAACAUAUCUUUUUUCUUCUUCCAGGCGAUUAGCAAUUAUUCAAAAGCCUAUUCUAUUAAGCCUCUUGACCCUAUUGUUCUAAGCAAUAGAAGUGCUGCUUAUAUAAGGUAAGCUUUCAUCUAACCUUUUCCAGACUUCCAAUGGAAUUUUCAUGUUGUUUAACUAUUUUUUUCCCUUUUACUCGGUUCACAAAUUUUACCGGUACUGACACAUUCUUAUAUCUUUCCAUCUUUCAACCUCUUGUUUUUUUUUAAGACUUGGACAAUAUCUGAAGCAGAGAUCUGCAUCAGUUUCGGAAUAUACACCUCUGAACGGUUUUGAUAUGUCGAUGCUUGGUGAAGUAUGUACUCUACUUACUUAACCUAUUUUACUAGCAGUUGCAAAAUUCAUCAACUCUGACUCACCCUUGAAAACCUGAUAAUUUCCUACAGCUUGCUCUCAAGGAUGCUGAUAAGCUAAUGAAUCUCCAGAGCAGUUCAGUGAAUUCAUAUACCACAAAGGCUUGUGCCCUCAUGUUGGUAUGUGCCAAAUUAUUCUUAUAUUCAUUUUUCUUUUAGUCAACAAAUCUUUAUCGCUUGUCUUUAUUUCAAGGUACUAUCAAGAGUUUCUCAGUCUGCUUCGUUUCACAAUUGUCAAUUUUGUUUUGAUUCUGCAGCUAGAAAGAUAUGAGUUAGCACGUGACACUAUCCUCUCCGGUCUACAGAUUGAUCCUUUUAGGUACAGUAGUCUAUGUGUACCAUUUCUGAUUCUGUCUUGAUGCCUAAUAGAAUGUGUAGUUUCUAAAGUGUGAGGUUUCUUUAUGAUUGCAUGAAGUUAUCCUCUCCGAUCCAAUCUUCAGGAAUUGGAGAAGGUCAUGCCUACGUCGAUGAGAAAGACACAUGGAAAGGCUGAGAGGACUGAUGACUUUGAUUGCACCGUUUGCCUGAAACUGCUGUAUGAACCUGCUACAACUCCAUGUGGGCAUACAUUCUGCCGAUCAUGCCUCUUUCAGUCUAU
Molecule: long non-coding RNA, 8286 nt
Filed under: Brassica napus (rape)
Lineage: Eukaryota; Viridiplantae; Streptophyta; Magnoliopsida; Brassicales; Brassicaceae
Description: long non-coding RNA (BNAP_LNC017155)
Source: RNAcentral